RNAcentral lists this ribosomal RNA (470 nucleotides) under uncultured bacterium. Its description in RNAcentral is "bacterial SSU rRNA". It matches the Rfam family "Bacterial small subunit ribosomal RNA", at positions 48 to 507 of the family's 1533-position model. The record is from RNAcentral.
UUAACACAUGCAAGUCGAGGGGAAACGAUAUUGGAAGCUUGCUUCCGAUAGGCGUCGACCGGCGCACGGGUGAGUAACGCGUAUCCAACCUGCCCAUCACUUGGGGAUAACCUUGCGAAAGUAAGACUAAUACCCAAUGAUAUCUCUAGAAGACAUCUGAAAGAGAUUAAAGAUUUAUCGGUGAUGGAUGGGGAUGCGUCUGAUUAGCUUGUUGGCGGGGUAACGGCCCACCAAGGCGACGAUCAGUAGGGUUCUGAGAGGAAGGUCCCCACAUUGGAACUGAGACACGGUCCAAACUCCUACGGGAGGCAGCAGUGAGGAAUAUUGGUCAAUGGGCGAGAGCCUGAACCAGCCAAGUAGCGUGCAGGAUGACGGCCCUAUGGGUUGUAAACUGCUUUUAUAAGGGAAUAAAGUGAGUCUCGUGAGACUUUUUGCAUGUACCUUAUGAAUAAGGACCGGCUAAUUCCGUG